Molecule: non-coding RNA, 149 nt
Filed under: Rhizobium sp.
Lineage: Bacteria; Pseudomonadati; Pseudomonadota; Alphaproteobacteria; Hyphomicrobiales; Rhizobiaceae
Source: RNAcentral
UGAAUUGACAUAAUGGAUGGUUCCGGAUCGGCCUUAAGCCUUCCGGAUGAAAAGGGAAUGUGACGGGGCGGACCCAAGCCGGGCGCUUUCAUCACAGCCGACCCCGCGACUGUAGAGCAGUCAGGGUCUUCCAUCCGGCAUUUCGAUUG